GUUCUGGAGAGUCUCCUCGGUCCUCUGUGACGCUCACCCUUCUCCUGUGCUAGACUUGGUAUGCCUGUGUCCAGCUGCUAUGUCUACAUUCUGGCUGUGGUCCUCCCACGACCACUACCUCAGCCUGAGUAAGGGCCUGUGGGAAAACUCUGUGGUUUCUGUUUGGGGAGGGUUCUGUUCCUAGCUAAUUACUGUCCCCAAAAGAGAUUACCUGGUACUGAGGAUGACAAGAGUCUAUGGAAGAGGCCACCAUGUGUCCUGGGCUGGGAUCUGGGUCCUAAGGGGGGGGGGUCAGCAUCUCCCACACAAAGGAGCAUCCCCAGAGGAGGUAGUAAUAUGUGAGGAGGAGCACCCCUUCCUCACCGUGUACCAGCACAGGGCAGCUACACAGACCGUACCCCAACCCCAUUAGGUUGAGUGAAGCCUCAAGUCUGUGACAGGAUCUUCGAACACACAGAUUGGCCUUCAUCAUCUACCACUCUCAGGUUUGCUGGGCCCAGAGAGCAGUUAGACUGGUUGCCCCCAGAACCAUAAAAAGGCAAGUCGGGGGCCUCACAGAGUGGAGCUGAGGAACAGUCAGCCCAGGCUCCAAGGCCUCGGGGUUCUUUUUCUUUUUCUUUCUGUCCACCUAUUUCUUUUUCUUUUAUGUGUCUGUGUGGAGUUUGACCUUGCAUGAAUGUGAGGUCCCAUGUCUUCCUCAACGACACUGCCUUCUUGUUUUGUUUGUUUUAGUUGUUUUGGGGCGGGGUGUUUGUUGUUGUAUGUGUGUGGGUGUGUUGUGUGUGUGAGCGAGAGAAAGAGAAAUAGGCAGACACACACACACACACACACACACACCAGACAGACAGACAGACAGACAGCCUAACCAUGUAGCCCUGGCUGGCCUGGAACUUGCUACAUAGACCAAACUGGCCUCAAACUCGCAAGUCUGCUGACUUCUCCCUCUCCAAUGCUGGGAUUGGGAUUAAAAGUGUGUGCCACCAUGCCUGGCUGUCCGCCUCAUCUUUUGAAACAGGGCUUCUCACUGAUCCUAGACCUCACUAAGUGGAUAGGUAGGCUGGCUCAUCAGUAAGCCCCAACAACCCUACUUUCUCUGCCUCCCAGGCACUGGAAUUGCAAGAAUUUAUCUCUGUGUCUGGUAAUCCCAGCACCGGGGCUGCUGGGAAUCCAGCUUAAUCCCCCUGCUCCCUGGAAUGCACUACCAGCCCAGCCAUCCCCACACCCAUUAAAGCGUGGCUACUCAGAAGCACGCGCCAGUGCUCUGACCCUUCCCAAUGCUCGAGAGACCGCUUUCUGGUAAGGCAGAAGAUGGUGACAGCUAGAGAGACAUUUUUAAUUGUCCCCCCUCGGCAGAGGUUAAGGGUCUUUAAGGGAGCAGUGAAUGUCAUCAUCCCAUUUUACAUGCUGGGGAGAGGUGUGGUGACGUGCUCAGGAACACAUCUGAAGAGAAACAGGCCAGGUUGAACUCUGACUCAGAGGGCUGCUGGGUCCUGCCUGGAGCGUGCUCCUCUUAGCAGCCAACGCCUCUCCACAGAGCCAGAGGCAGCCCUGGAAUGGCCGACUCAGGCCCUCAUAGAAAGAAAGGCUUCCUGUGCAGCUGACUGGCUGAGGUUGGGUUUUCUUGGUUCUCUGAAGCAAGUGGUUUGAAGCAACCUUUAAAAUCCAGGGUCAGGGGACAACCACUCCCUUUGGCCUUGAUGUCAAGGGAGUUUGUGGCAAACUCAGAAAAGGCUUUUAGCCUGACAAGCCUCGCCUUCUUGGGGCACAAAAAAACAACAUCUGAAUUUCCAUAUAUAUUCUUAACGGUUAAUAACCUGAAAUCUUCAACUCCUAAACGUUCUGAUGGAGCCCGUUUCUUCCUUGUUCUUUUCCCUACAAGACCCGGCAGGCAACUCCAGGUGUUGCGUCUGUUGCUGCUAUGUCAAGGGUCACCUUCAAGAUACACAGAGGGCACCCCAGAACUGAGGAGGGCACCUAGGCAGCAUACGGCCUGUUGCUUACAAUCGGAGUCAAAGAUUACCAAGGUCAUUGUGGGCUUCUGUCAGGAGAGAGUCUCACUAACAUGAAUGGCGUCUGAUGAUUAUCCUGCAGGAAGCCUUGCUAACAGCUGCCCUGUUGUACUGGUUUAAGGAGAACAAAAUGGCCUCGGCGGCUAGAUGCCGUGGCGUGACCCCAAACACCGACCUGGAGUUCUCCACCCACGAUAUCUGAGCAAGGGGGCUAGAGUGCUUCAUUUGAAAAGCAGGGCUCAAGGAUAGGGAGGCAGAGAGAAAAAAAUCUGGGUUUUCUGUUUUUCUGGGGUCUUUUUCGGUCUCAGAGAGGUAAACAGACCCCACUCAUGUCUAAGCAAAGGGAGAACUGUGAUCCCCACACAGCAAGGUAAGAGGCCCCAUUUGGUUUGGUUUUUUUUUUUUUUUCUCCUUUUCAUCACUGUGAAAAACAACCCUGGAACAUUGAAAAAAAAAAAAAGGCAGUUUGUUGCGCAGUAAAAAAUAAAGAAUCUAGUCUUUUUCCAUUAAAGUGUCUGCAGCAGUCGGCCUGUGAAAGCGCUCUAGUGCCAUCUAGAGAUUCUGCACUGAAAGGAUUCGAAUGUUCCAGAACCUUCCAGUCCCCGUUUCCAAGGCAAUCGCUCACAGCCUGCAGUGUUCUCAUCUCCUGCUUUCCAGCGCUUGGCAUCUGCUCCCCUCUGAAUUCCCGAGAGACCCAGCUGACCCCCAUCAAGUGGGAAAACUGUGCAGGGCCAGGAGCUGGCGCCUGAACCAGCCAUACUUUUACCUCCCACCGCCCUGGGGCCUCCCCGGGGGUGGGGGGCCCUUGCAGUUCUUGCCUGCAAAGCAGGCAGAAUUAACUCCAUCGCCCCUGGCCUGGCCUCUUUGAGCUCUCCAAAUGUCACUUAGCAACAAUUAGGUAAUUAGGGGAGCUAAUCAACCACCCUGAACUCCUACUGCAGCCUCUGCCUGGGCAAUUUCAAAGGCUCACAAGAGCUCUCACCCCUAGACCUGCCUUGCUGAGCCUUGCUGAGCCUUACCCAAAGGGCUCCGAUUUCAGCCCCUAUGCCAGUACUGCUUCUGACAUGUGUUACCAUUUAACAUGGGAGGAAGGGAACCAGGAUGAGGGGAACUUCACCCUCCAUCACCUGCAUCGCUGGGGCACCACAGCCUAGGCACCCAGAGCCCACUCCGGAAACCGGUCCUCCCUUAAGGAAAGCACCCACUCUCACUUCCUAUAGGGAGACAGUGUUUCUGGGUGCUUUUCUGGGAGUGUUUUCUAUAACACAGAAAGGUUUAUUAUUUCACAGUUAUUAAUGUUUUGUUGUGAACUACACCAUUUACUUGUCAGUAGGUAGUAAAGGCUACAGGUAUUUCUGAUGGUCACUACAGGCCUGAUUUCUGCUCAAUGCGUGUCCAAGAUGCUCUGAACACCCGGCUGCAUCCAGAGAGCUCCACUAAAAAUCUUAGAGCAGCCGCUGGUGUUGGGUACUGACCAAGAAACCAGACCCACAGACUAGGAGUGUAUACCAAUGGAUUCUCGCAAAUAGACACAUGUGUUGGUCUCCUCAUGGCACAAUUUGGAGAACUACAGAUGGAAGGGCUUGAAACAACACAAAUUUGUUAUUUUACCACCAACAUCAUCUCUUUUGUGGAGGUCGCAGUUCCUAAGAGCCAAAUGGCUGCAGGAGAGAGCGCCCCCUGGAGGCCUCAGGAAAAAAUGUUUGCUUUUGCCUUUCUCAGCCUUUCCUUGCCACUUGCUACCUAGGACCCCAGGCCACCACCCUCCAUCUUCAAAGGCACUGCUGGGUGCAGCCUGUAUAAAUCAGAGUCCCGCGAUUGCUGCUGCUCUAAUAAGAAGUCUUAGGCCUUGUCACACCUGCAAAGUCUUUGUCGUGGAGCUUGCAACGUUAAGGUUUGGGCUUGGACUCCACCCACCCCCGAGUCCAUCCUGACUUUUCCAACGCAUGAUUAAUUCCUUAUUCUCAGAGUUAAUGAUUUGUAGAGUAAAGCCUUCUUUAAUAAAGGCUACAUAUAAA
Rattus norvegicus (Norway rat) is the source of this 4027-nucleotide long non-coding RNA. RefSeq lists it as uncharacterized. Lineage: Eukaryota; Metazoa; Chordata; Mammalia; Rodentia; Muridae. The record is from RefSeq and is a predicted model, not a curated record.